UUUCAAAAGACUAAUGAAGCUACAUUUUCGAAAGCAAUGCAUGAUUAUGUAAAUAGUUUGUAUGUUUGUUAUUUAUUUAUGUUUGCUAAUUGUCUAAGGAAUAAUUAUGUAAAUAGUUUGUAUUCUGUAUAUGUAUUAGUCUUAAUCUUACACGUCCCCUAUGGAAAUCAUCGAAAGAUGUUAGGGCUAACGUGUUUAAAUAAAUUUUUAUGUAUGUAUGUAUGUAUGUAU
Non-coding RNA from Paramuricea clavata, 231 nucleotides. Lineage: Eukaryota; Metazoa; Cnidaria; Anthozoa; Malacalcyonacea; Plexauridae. The record is from the annotation of a GenBank genome assembly.